UACGGGGGGGGCAAGCGUUGUUCGGAAUUACUGGGCGUAAAGGGCUCGUAGGCGGCCAACUAAGUCAGACGUGAAAUCCCUCGGCUUAACCGGGGAACUGCAUCUGAUACUGGAUGGCUUGAGAUUGGUAGAGGGAUGCGGAAUUCCAGGUGUAGCGGUGAAAUGCGUAGAUAUCUGGAGGAACACCGGUGGCGAAGGCGGCAUCCUGGACCAACACUGACGCUGAGGCGCGAAGGCCAGGGGAGCAAACGGG
RNAcentral lists this ribosomal RNA (253 nucleotides) under uncultured bacterium. RNAcentral's name for it is "partial 16S ribosomal RNA". It matches the Rfam family "Bacterial small subunit ribosomal RNA", at positions 524 to 776 of the family's 1533-position model. The record is from RNAcentral.